RNAcentral lists this transfer RNA (82 nucleotides) under Planctomycetales bacterium. RNAcentral describes it as "tRNA-Leu". It matches the Rfam family "tRNA". From Rfam's summary of the family: Transfer RNA (tRNA) molecules are approximately 80 nucleotides in length. Their secondary structure includes four short double-helical elements and three loops (D, anti-codon, and T loops). Lineage: Bacteria; Pseudomonadati; Planctomycetota; Planctomycetia; Planctomycetales. The record is from RNAcentral.
GGGGCUGUGGCGGAACUGGCAGACGCGCUAGAUUUAGGAUCUAGUUUCGAAAGAAGUGCAGGUUCGAUUCCUGUCAGCCCCA